AUAAAGCUUUAUAUAUUUAUUAAAAUAGACACAUUUUGUUAAGUUUAGAAUUUCCCCAGAUUCUCAAUAAGUCAAUAUAAUAUUAACACUACAGUCAUUGGAACAUAAAUUCCACUCCAUAAUAUAUAUCUGCAUAUAUUUUUUUCUUUCUUCAUAACACACAACAACGCCCCAUUGUAUGGUGCACCAAUGGGAAUUGAAAACCACAAAAAGGAACACUUUUAAAAGCAAAUACAGCAAUUUCAUAACCAAAACAUCAGAGAAUGGACACCAGAAAAUACCACCUGCAGAAAUGAGAAAGCUAGAAGUUGAAUUUCAUCAUCAGACAGUUGUGACCAAGUGGAAUAAGGACCAGGGAUGUCCUCUGCAAACCUUAGGGAGUUGCUUACAUAAGCAAAAACAGUUGAGGUAUUUAUGAUCAGCAACCAAAGAGCGUGUUUGCUUUGGAAGAUGGGAGCUUGGGAUUCCUCCUCAGUUUAAUCUUUCCUUGCUAUUUGUCAGGGAAGGUAUGAGCACAGUCAGCUCCCAGGACCCACCAUAAGGGGACUCGUGCCUGACCUGUACAUUAAAAUUAAAAGGAUUCAGCAAGAUCAUACUUCCUGGGAAAAUCAAAUGACUCUUAGGUUCACGUUUUUGCUGGUGCAAAUGGUACCCAUGAAGAUAACUGGUGGGGAAAGGUUCAGAGAGGCGAAUGAUCCUCCAACUGUGUUAUUUCCUAGUUCUGAAUAGAGCUGUGUUUCUUUCCUUGGCCUUUCCAAAGAUCAGAGACUCAUGCAUCCCUAAGGAAGCGGUGGAUAGAUUUCAGGGGAGGUCUGCGAACUUGGAUGGAUGAAAUAUAUUUUUAUUUUCACUAACUCUGAUUUAGCAUUUCAUUCAGUUGUGAACCAAGGCAAUAAACAUGAUCUCAGAAGAAAUCCACGGGUUUCAUCAGAUUGCUAAAGGGUCAAUGGCAUAAAAAACUUUUCAGAAUUCCUGCAUUGGAGGGAUUAUAAGGAUCAUAAAUAAGCUACCAGCUCGAGAAAGUCUCACUUCUCUGUAGUGGAAUUCAUGGGUGAUUUCCUUAGAGGGAGAGAUUUCCAGGCCAUCUUUUCUCCAUCCAUCUAGAACACUGUUUAUGGCUUCUACACCAUGUAAGUUGACAGCAGAAUAUAUGUCCAUUUCAGAACAUAUAUCAAUAUCAGGUAAACCCCACAAACUUCCCUAAACUAAGGCAAGAAUAAGACAGUACUUUUUUUUUUUUACCUUCUGGAAGUUGAGAGCUAAGAAGAGAAAGGAGGACUAAUUUUUAGAGAAAAAAAGAGUCAAAGAUAGAAAAUGAACAAUAGUACAGAUACCUUCCUUGGGUUUCUCAGCAGGACCAAGAAAAGUGAGACCUUUUUCUUUUUAAGAAAACGAGAAGCAGCAUGACAAAAUGGACAGAGGGCCACCUUUGAAGUGAGCAAGACCUAGUCAUAUCUGACAAACACUAGCCGUGUGACCCUGGGCAAACUGCCUUACCCUCAGUGUCUCCAGGCAAGCCUUUAACCCAGCAGUCCCAAAGGAGUUACCUGUUUGUGGAAGGAGUUUGAGAAUGAUCUACACCAAGCCCUACCACUCCCUCAUCUAAACAAAUAAAUAAAUACAGUGUCUCAUAUAGGAAAGGAAAAUGUGAGUAACCUUUCUUAUGAAUUUUCAAAGGAAAUAAAAUAUUGAAAUAGUAACAAUAUAAGAGGCAACUUGCCUU
RNAcentral lists this long non-coding RNA (1723 nucleotides) under Sarcophilus harrisii (Tasmanian devil). RNAcentral describes it as "lncRNA (ENSSHAG00000025241.1)". Lineage: Eukaryota; Metazoa; Chordata; Mammalia; Dasyuromorphia; Dasyuridae. The record is from RNAcentral.